This 320-nucleotide ribosomal RNA is filed under the name uncultured Prevotella sp. RNAcentral describes it as "bacterial SSU rRNA". It matches the Rfam family "Bacterial small subunit ribosomal RNA", at positions 28 to 339 of the family's 1533-position model. The record is from RNAcentral. Lineage: Bacteria; Pseudomonadati; Bacteroidota; Bacteroidia; Bacteroidales; Prevotellaceae.
GAUGAACGCUAGCUACAGGCUUAACACAUGCAAGUCGAGGGGCAGCGAGAAGGAAGCUUGCUUUCUUUGUCGGCGACCGGCGCACGGGUGAGUAACGCGUAUCCAACCUUCCCCCUAGUAGGGGAUAGCCCGGCGAAAGUCGGAUUAAUACCCUAUGUUGUUCAUUGAAGGCAUCUGAUUUGAACCAAAGGUUUUCCGCUAAGGGAUGGGGAUGCGUCUGAUUAGCUUGUCGGCGGGGUAACGGCCCACCGAGGCAACGAUCAGUAGGGGUUCUGAGAGGAAGGUCCCCCACAUUGGUACUGAGACACGGACCAAACUCC